UUGCUUUCUUUCCAUUGGGAUGCCAGACUCAUGGAAUGCUGACAAGCAGCUCAGGAGAGAUGAAAUGCAGCCCAAAAUCGAGGUCCAAGCCCAUGUUACUCAUGGUGUUUCUCAGGGUGUUUCUCAGAUGUAAAGUAACUUUAUGGUCUUAGACAUGAAGAAUUUGGAGAAUUCCAGUGAACAGCAUCUAUUAUAAAACUCUUAUUCUCUGAGGAAAGGUAUUAUCUUUCUCAAAAAAGGCAGUAACAUCUUUCUCAAGGUCUUAAGGACCUGAAGAUUAAUUAAUUUCCAGAGAAAACAGAUAUUUUGUGUCAAAUGUCCUGGAUGUCAAUUUGUCAUCAGAAGAUUAUUGAUUUGCAUUUGAAACUGGAGAUGAAGAUUUCUGAUGGAGUGGAAAUGAAAAAUUAUGGCAAUGAUUCCCCAACUCAUCCUAAUAAUUGCCUAUGAGUCUCCACCAGUUUCUUGAUGAAGCUCUCUGAUGAUAAUUGGACUAGACUCUAAUAUAUAGUAAAGCACAAUAUCGUCUCUGUGGCAUCUAGACACUGUUUCCUGGAAGCAGACAUCAGCUGUAGGCUUCCACUCAUGGCAUGGACCUCAAGUUGUACCAAUUAUUCAUUUGGCCACACCAUCAUCAAUUGCAGACAGAAAAAAAUUAUAAGGAUCAGAAAUUUUGGGAAUCUGAUAUGAAAUACGUAAGAACAAAGCACAAUGUUUUUAUUUCAUGAAAAGCUCAAAUCAUUAUACUAUCACAUGUUAGCAUCUUAACACAGCACUGAAUCCAUACUGGGAUCAAAGUUGGUACCAUGGGAAUAGUUAUUUAAUAGAAAGCAGAAUAUUUGUGACAACUGCCAUUCCUAUUCAACAAAUUGGCAAGCAAUGCAUCAAAAUCAUGUAAACUCAGUAAAAAAAAGCUGAAUAAAAUACAGAAUGGCCAAAAAUAAAACUACUCAGGUCAGAAAUAUGUUUUUGAAUGUAAUGUAGCCACAACCAUGUUUUGAAGAGAAACCUCAGCACUUGGAAGAAAUAUAAUCCAAUAGCAUAACAGAAAGGAGGCUUUGUCUGGUUAUGAGGCGUGAAAGUACAAGGCAGAACUCUCCUCAGUAAAGAUUGCAACCCUCCUACAGAGAGCUGAACUGUAUGCAAGAGCCUAACCCAGCAAGGAAGACUUUCUGAGCUUACUGAUUUGGUUUUACAAAAAGAUUGACAGCAGCUCUAUUACAACCUGUAAAUUUAGCUGCAAAAUACAACUUGGUGUAUGUGGGAAAACAUGUUUAUCCAAGCAAAGAAAAAGCUUGAAAUU
RNAcentral lists this long non-coding RNA (1300 nucleotides) under Mus musculus (house mouse). RNAcentral's name for it is "RIKEN cDNA 4930523O13 gene". The record is from RNAcentral. Lineage: Eukaryota; Metazoa; Chordata; Mammalia; Rodentia; Muridae.